Molecule: ribosomal RNA, 166 nt
Filed under: Staphylococcus aureus
Lineage: Bacteria; Bacillati; Bacillota; Bacilli; Caryophanales; Staphylococcaceae
Description: partial 23S ribosomal RNA
Rfam family: Bacterial large subunit ribosomal RNA
Source: RNAcentral
GGACGGGAUAAGUGCUGAAAGCAUCUAAGCAUGAAGCCCCCCUCAAGAUGAGAUUUCCCAACUUCGGUUAUAAGAUCCCUCAAAGAUGAUGAGGUUAAUAGGUUCGAGGUGGAAGCAUGGUGACAUGUGGAGCUGACGAAUACUAAUCGAUCGAAGACUUAAUCAA